GACGAACGCUGGCGGCGUGCUUAACACAUGCAAGUCGAGCGGUAAGGCCCUUUCGGGGGUACACGAGCGGCGAACGGGUGAGUAACACGUGGGUGACCUGCCCUCAGCUCUGGGAUAAGCCUGGGAAACCGGGUCUAAUACUGGAUAUGACUCCAUGACGCAUGUUGUGGGGUGGAAAGCCUUGUGCAGCUGAGGAUGGGCCCGCGGCCUAUCAGCUUGUUGGUGGGGNGAUGGCCUACCAAGGCGACGACGGGUAGCCGGCCUGAGAGGGCGACCGGCCACACUGGGACUGAGACACGGCCCAGACUCCUACGGGAGGCAGCAGGUGGGGAAUCUUGCGCAAUGGGCGAAAGCCUGACGCAGCGACGCCGCGUGAGGGAUGACGGCCUGGUGU
This 394-nucleotide ribosomal RNA is filed under the name uncultured bacterium. RNAcentral describes it as "bacterial SSU rRNA". It matches the Rfam family "Bacterial small subunit ribosomal RNA", at positions 28 to 422 of the family's 1533-position model. The record is from RNAcentral.